GGAAGCAUACUAUUGUUACCAUAGUAAAUAACUCCUUCCUCAUGCAUGCUGCUCUAUCUCGUUCUCUUUUUCUCUUUAAUUAAUGUCAUAGCUAGAAUGAAAAUAUUAAAAAAAAACAAAAGAAUAACAUAUGGUUGUUAAGUUUAUAGCACAAAAUACCAUUUUACAACCAGCAUUAUAAUUUGGAAUCAAAAAAAACAUUCAACCCUAUUUGUAGAUCUAUCUAGCCAACAGUUAUAGUUGGAAUCGCUAAAAUUGCCGCUAAUCAUAUGAAAGUUUCUAGAAAUCAAAUUGUUAUAGAUAGAUAUACUAUGAUAAUAACCUCUUUCUUAUGGUGGGUCUUAAAUUUGCCCUCUCUCUCACUCUCUCCCAC
This 373-nucleotide long non-coding RNA is filed under the name Phoenix dactylifera (date palm). RNAcentral describes it as "long non-coding RNA (PDAC_LNC000074)". The record is from RNAcentral. Lineage: Eukaryota; Viridiplantae; Streptophyta; Magnoliopsida; Arecales; Arecaceae.